RNA transcript from Pleuronectes platessa (European plaice), 5248 nucleotides. It is a transcript of the gene named bromodomain-containing protein 8, with no coding region annotated. The record is from RefSeq and is a predicted model, not a curated record. The transcript is spliced from 19 exons. NCBI's taxonomy places the organism in Eukaryota, Metazoa, Chordata, Actinopteri, Pleuronectiformes, Pleuronectidae.
UGUUCGAACAGUGGAUCCCUUCACCGAGCUCCACAUUAAACUCAGUUAUUUCUCGACUGUCGAGGUUAACGCGAGAUUCCUCCGACUGUCAACAAAGAAAGCCCCGUGUAGCAUUCAAGCUAGCUGCUCCAUCCUCCAGUAUACAAGCAAAGACUCGUAGAAAGACCGGGACUGUAACGCGCGGCGGUGCUUCGGCGUGGAGACAGAGAGAAGAAGCCUCCACGCUUUCCUCAACGUGACUUUCGCCGAUGUCCACGUUUUCAUGUCGGCUCGUCGUUGUCUGCGGGUCUGUGUCUGCACCGAGAUGAAUGGCAUCAUGUCGGGAUGACAGGAAGAUGGCAAACGGGGUUGGAAAACACAAGCUGCACGUCAUCGGACCCACGGAGCCAUGGUCAGUGAGGGAGAAGCUGUGUUUGGCCACAUCUGUCAUGAAGAGCGGACACCAGAACUGGGUAUCGGUCAGUCGAGCCAUCAAACCAUUUGCAGAACCUGGGCGGCCACCUGACUGGUUCUCUCAGAAGCACUGCGCCUCAAAGUACUCUGAGCUCCUGGAAGCAACAGACGCCCCAAAGAGGAAGCGUGGUGAGAAAGGUGAAGUGGUGGAGACGGUGGAAGAUGUGAUCGUGCGCAGGCUGACGACCGACAGGAUCGAUGAACUCAAAAAGCGAAUCAAAGAAACUCAGGACAAGCACAGGAAGCUGAAGCGAGAGGCUGAGCUGAUUAAAGCAGGACAUCUAGAUUCCAAACUAGAAGACCUAUGGGAGGGAAUACGGCAGAAGAAGAAAGCGGAGGAGGAAGAAGCCGAGUGGAAAAGAAAAAACACAGAUGCUGCUUUUCAGGCCAGAAAGGUGGCAAAGGGCACAACCAAGCGAGUGCCCGACGGGUAUGUGCCCGACGUGUAUUCGCCCUCAGGCUGCGGCUCCCCGAGCCAGGAGUUCUCUCCAGGUGCCCCCCUUGAGAGCCUGACACUGGAUCUUGGAUCUAUUAAGAAUGCUUCUGGAUCGUCCAGGUUCAUGACAUUCUCAGAGUCUUCUGGACUUGCUAUUGAAGACAUCAACCAGGCGUCACUUCUGGACGACCUCGCCCAAAAGAAGCUCCUGUGCCAGAAGGCCACACCACCACCGUCUCCACUCUUGUCAGAGUUACUGAAGAAAGGCAACAUCUUGGCCUCUAAUUCCAGACUGGUCGGUGAUGGUGACGUGUCCUCUGGUAACAUGAUCGCAGCACAUGACUUGCAGCUGGCUCUGCCGAGUCAACCUCUCUCUCAGGCAACAGGUGCCCCCAUGUUGUCCCGUCUCUUGGAGGCGGGUCCCACGCAGUUAUCUGCUCCAUUAAGUUUCAUGGUCGGUACCAACUCAGUCUCCAGCCCCUCUCUCUCGGCUGCCUCUCUUCUUCCUGUUGACUCCAGUGCCUCAGCGAGUACAGAGGAUAAAGUGUCAGGUCUCUGUGAGGAAGACGAGACCGUCUCCUACAUGGGAGAUGAGCUGGACCUCAAGACUGUGGGGGACAUUAUUGCAAUCAUUGAAGACAAGGCCGAUGAGGCUGCUGAUGCUUUGGAUGCCGCUGCAGUGGAGGCUGCCCUGUCCCUGUGUGAGGAGAAUGGCCAUGCAUUGGUGUCUGGUGCCUGGGAAGCUGGGCCUUUCCAACCCCAUGACUCUCAUCACAUAGUGCCCACAGGGGUUCCACAGGCAUCAUCUCUUCUCUGUAGCCUGGGGGGGGAGACAGACGUGUCAGAAGUCCAAGAUGAGACCUCAGCUUCACUCUCUUCUCUGUGCAACAGUCAAAAUCACUGUCUCGCAGUGUUCCCCAUGGGACUAAGGAGGGUUCCAAUCAACUGCUCGUCCUCAUUCAACUCCAGAAGUUUGGAGCACUGCCCCACCGGAGCAGCUCCACGGCCUGAGGCCAUGAGAGAAACUGGAAAGGUGAUGCACCCGAAAAGCCAAAUUUCCUCGGUUGUUGCCAUAAAACGUGAGAGUGAGAAGUGGACACCGCUAAGACCUACUCUAGCACAUGGAGAGUUGGUAUUAGAAGAUAGACCACAGACAGAAAGGCAUCCCAAGGUGAUGAAGGCAGAGAAUGGAAUCAGUGUCGGGCGAGUAGAGAAUGCCUCAAGCUCCAGAGUGGACGAUGAGAUCCAGGGGCCAGAAGCGUGCGGGGAGGAGGAGGGCGACGGGGUCGAGGGAUUCUUGUCAGAGCCGGACGGCGACAUGGAUCUGGAGCCCGCGGCCAGUGAGAGUGAGGACGGAUACAGCCUCCACACGGCGUCCUCAUCUCUGCAGCUCCACACGACCGCAGACUCCAUCCCCAGCAGCCCGGCCUCAUCGCAGUUCUCUGUGUGCAGCGAGGACUUAGAAGCUCUGCAGGCUCACAAAAUCUGGAAGAAAGCCAUUAUGCUGGUGUGGCGUGCAGCAGCCAAUCACAGGUACGCUAAUGUCUUCCUGCAGCCAGUAACCGAUGAUAUUGCACCUGGGUAUCACAGUAUCGUGCAAAGGCCCAUGGACCUGGCCACCAUCAAAAAGAACAUAGAGAAUGGUUUGAUCCGGACGACCGCCGAGUUCCAGAGGGACAUCAUGCUGAUGUUUCAGAACGCUGUCAUGUACAACAGCAUGGAUCACGACGUGUACCACAUGGCGCUGGAGAUGCAGCGGGACGUCCUGGAGCAGAUUCAGCAGUUUCUAGCCACCCAGCUCAUCAUGGAGACGUCCGAGGCCGGCAUCAGCGCCAAGAGUCUGAGGGGCCGUGAGAGCACACGCAAACAGGACUCGACUGACAAGGUGCUUCACUAGAAUUUUGACAAAAGCAGAGAGUACAGAAGAAGAGACAAGGGUGAGACAACAGGCUGACUUAAAGGUAGAGGGGAGUGAAGCAUAACUAGAUCUGCUGGCCAUUUUCCAAAGUGUGACAUGGCGUCCUGUCAGGUAGCCAUGGGUUUUGCUAUGAAGAGUCAACAUCUUUAAAGAUUUGAAACCUUUGGUGGAUCAUUUUUCACAGUGAAAACCUGUUUGUCAUAUGACAACUUUAUUUAGGUUAAGUGUUUUCUAUCAGUUAAUGAAUGCAAAUCUUAUUUUGGCAAGUUGACUGUGCUGUCGAUCCCAGGCGUUGAUUGAUCUCGGAAGGUUUGACUGUUCAAAGAAACUGAAAAACAGUUGAUUAGCUACAGUUUGUAUCUCAAACAAGUCUCAGCCAAAGGUUGACUGUAAAGUAAGAAAUGUGUUUUUAAAACAUUGGUUAUACUUUGGAAAAUGGUGAGUGUUAAUGUAAUAAUGCAAUGAUGUAAAGGAACAUUACUGACAACUAUUUACCAAAGCAACCUCUUGUUUUCAUCUCAUUUCGCAACAGUAUGAAAAUGAACUGGCACUCGACAGUUUGCUCGGGCUGCUGGUGUUUGAGCAACACCUUGUCUGGCCCUCUAAAUAUUUUGAAUAUGAAAUAUGAUAUGACGCAUUUUCAUUGUGUGCUGUUGUGAACUAACACUAGUAGUUGGCUGAAAGGUAGAAGAUGAUUGUAUAACUCUCCUGCUUAUGCUUUGAAAAUUUGUUGAAAAGAACAUAUGUCUGUUAUAGAGAUAGACGUAAUGUGUGGAUAAGUCGUGCAAAUUGCAGUGCAGUGAGGAAUGAAAAUGUUAAUGCUUAAAAUGGCCAUAUGGUAAUAGGGUCAUUUAUGAAAAGGACAUCUGUUCUAAUAGUAGCUCUCUUAAAGCUUAGUUCAACAUUUCCCUCGCACUGAAUCUACUGCGUUCCAUCUGUCUUUCUUGCUCUUGAGACUUUCCCUGAGUCACAGCUCUGAUGUGCAUCGUUCUCCUCUUGCAGGACACUGUCUCCAUGUCUUCUCCUGCCUUCCUCCUUUCUCUUUUUGAUGGAGGCACCAGGGGGCGCCGGUGUGCCAUAGAAGCUGACCUCAAGAUGAAGAAAUGAACACAUAGUAUGAACAUUUUGCACGACGGCGUCCCUGCGUCGUACUGACAGGUGUGAUACCAUAAGACUGAACUUUAUCCUCUUGACAGUUGCACAGAUUCUCACUCUGCAUAACGUGCAGUGUAACCUUUAUUUGCACUCUUGAUUAUAUGGGUAGACUGAAAUGUGGAGAAGAUCCUUUACUAUGAGACAGCCAUACAGACAUGGAUUACAUACUGUGUAAUCCCAGAUUACAAUGGGACGUUCAGAUAGACUAGGUCAAACCCUCCGUAGACGUAGCUACAGAUCCCUCAGACUUAGCCUGCUCUGAAUUUCAUCAGGUUACAUAAGCGAAGAAGGAAAGUUCCUCCUCGUCACCAAGUGGGCUGAAAAUAAAUCUGCAGGAGGAGGCCUGGUUCGACUCCAGAUCAGUGUUCUUGAUUUCGAUCUCAUGUAAAGCCAGAGGCCAAAGACUCUCAUUAAUCUAAUUUCUGAUCAGUCUGAGCCCAGGAACUGAACGGUUUCAAAUUUAAACACUUUCAUUGCUGUUACAAACUAUUUUCCUUUUUAAUUUUUCAAACUUAAUGUUUGUGAUGAGUUGAUUUUAUUUGUGGUACACUUCCUGCGAAAGUACCUCCAUGCAUUCUCUCGUUGUUUACAGUGUUUUUGAAGACAAAAAAAAAAAGAAUCUGUUUUGUGAACUUUAAAAUGUUGAAACAAUAAAAACUGUAUUAAGUGCCCCGAAGAAUUGGACAAAAUGUUUCCACAGUGCCAACUCAAAACAAUCCACACCACUUCAGUAACUUGCAAUUUAACGUUGAUGUUUCAGAGAUGUUUUUUUGUUCAAAUAUUCCUUUGGGGGAAUCUUAGUUUUUAUAUCCAUUUUUUUUAAAUGUGUGUCUGAUUUGCCUAAUUUGUGGGGGAGCAGAUUUUCCUCUGGAUCGGGUUCGGGAAUUUGUAUCUGUAUUGCACAAAAUUGUUCAGUUACAUGAGCGUUGCAAGAAAAAAUAAGUUACAUCUGUUGUUUCCUAUACCUUUUGUUUUUUGAACUGUUGUUACUAAGCACUGUGGUUGUACAAAGAGGAGACAGCAUCUUCCACAAAGCUGCCACUCUGGUAUAAUAGUUUUUCCAUGUUCAGUGUUAUGUAAAUUGGCCUCAUCAAUAAAACUCCAUUCAUAGUUUUUAUUGAAUCAGAGCCAAUUCAUUAAUAGGACGCUACUUAAUGAUGCCUUGUUGUUGUUGUUAUUGUUGUUGUUGUCUACCACUUUGUCCUUACUCAUUUCUGUCAAGUCAAAUACAUUGUGUUUCAUGUAUUCAUCUCCACUGAUGUUGCAAAGUGAAAUGAUAAAUGUUC